This 118-nucleotide ribosomal RNA is filed under the name Nicotiana sylvestris (wood tobacco). Lineage: Eukaryota; Viridiplantae; Streptophyta; Magnoliopsida; Solanales; Solanaceae. RNAcentral also lists the same sequence under 1 other name. The record is from RNAcentral.
GGAUCCGAUCAUACCAGCACUAAUAAAUCGGAUCCCAUCUUUACUACGAAAUUACGCGUGCUUGGGCGAGAGUAGUACUAGAUGGGUGACCCCAUGGGAAGUCCUCGUGUUACAUCCC